ACGUAAGGGGCGAGCGUUGUUCGGAAUUAUUGGGUGUAAAGGGCGCGUAGGCGGUCUGGCAAGUCUGGUGUUGAAGGCUACAGCUUAACUGUAGUUUGGCGCUGGAAACUGCUGGGCUUGAGUUUAGGAGGGGGAGCUGGAAUUCCAGGUGUAGGGGUGAAUUCUGUAGGUAUGUGGAAGAACCGCGGUGGCGUAGGCGGGGACCUGGCCAUAGACUGCCGCUGAGGCGCGAAAGUGUGGUGUGAUAACAG
This 251-nucleotide ribosomal RNA is filed under the name uncultured prokaryote. Its description in RNAcentral is "partial 16S rRNA". It matches the Rfam family "Bacterial small subunit ribosomal RNA", at positions 525 to 775 of the family's 1533-position model. The record is from RNAcentral.